GUCAGGUGUGGUGGCGUGCACCUGUAGUCCUAGCUACUUGGGAGGCUGAGGUGGGAGAAUCGCUUGAGCCCAGGUGUUCAAGACUGCAGUGAGCUAUGAUGGCACCACUGCACUUCAGCCUGGGAGACAGAGCAAGACCCUGUCUCUA
Molecule: unclassified non-coding RNA, 148 nt
Organism: Macaca mulatta (Rhesus monkey)
Lineage: Eukaryota; Metazoa; Chordata; Mammalia; Primates; Cercopithecidae
Rfam family: Metazoan signal recognition particle RNA
About the family: The signal recognition particle (SRP) is a universally conserved ribonucleoprotein. It is involved in the co-translational targeting of proteins to membranes.
Source: Ensembl